Condylostylus longicornis is the source of this 753-nucleotide long non-coding RNA. RefSeq lists it as uncharacterized. The record is from RefSeq and is a predicted model, not a curated record. Lineage: Eukaryota; Metazoa; Arthropoda; Insecta; Diptera; Dolichopodidae. The transcript has 6 exons.
UCAUCAGUUUCAUUUAAUCAGUUGUUGUGGUAACACACACAGUGUUUUAUAAAACCAUGAAAUUGAUAAAGAAAAAGAAAAAGAGAAAAAAACAGCGAAAAGUGUGGUGUCGUCGCCACAUUUUUCGCAAAGCUUAAUAUUUAAAAAAUAAAUAGUCAAAAUGUUGUUGUGUUAACAAAGUCCUCGGAUAGUCCUAAAAAAUUGAAAUCAUCAACACAACAUUCAUCUUCUUUAAAAUGUCCGUCCAAUCAUUAUAUUAAAGAAGAAUUUGGGGUUCAAAUUAAUUUAUGUGAAACAUCUAUAAUUAAAUUAAUUUUGGAAAAAAAAUUUUGGUUGACAUUUUGGACAAAUUUUAGGCGAAUGUACCAAAAAUAUAAGAUAAAGAAAAAGAAAAAGAGAAAAAAACAGCGAAAAGUGUGGUGUCGUCGCCACAUUUUUCGCAAAGCUUAAUAUUUAAAAAAUAAAUAGUCAAAAUGUUGUUGUGUUAACAAAGUCCUCGGAUAGUCCUAAGAAAUUGAAAUCAUCAACACAACAUUCAUCUUCUUUAAAAUGUCCGUCCAAUCAUUAUAUUAAAGAAGAAUUUGGGGUUCAAAUUAAUUUAUGUGAAACAUCUAUAAUUAAAUUAAUUUUGGAAAAAAAAUUUUGGUUGACAUUUUGGACAAAUUUUAGGCGAAUGUACCAAAAAUAUAAGCUAUUCAACAUUUUGUUUUAAUUACGUUACAUUCAUAUUAAAAAUUUAUAUUUCUCAAGCAA